GACCUCGCGCGAUUGGAGCGGCCGAUAUCAGAUUAGGGUAGUUGGUGAGGUAAAAGGCUCACCAAGCCGACGAUCUGUAGCUGGUCUGAGAGGACGACCAGCCACACUGGGACUGAGACACGGCCCAGACUCCUACGGGAGGCAGCAGUGGGGGAUUUUGGACAAUGGGCGCAAGCCUGAUCCAGCAAUGCCGCGUGCAGGAUGAAGGCCUUCGGGUUGUAAACCGCUUUUGUACGGAACGAAACGGUGAGCUCUAAUACAGUUUGCUAAUGACGGUACCGUAAGAAUAAGCACCGGCUAACUACGUG
RNAcentral lists this ribosomal RNA (308 nucleotides) under uncultured bacterium. Its description in RNAcentral is "bacterial SSU rRNA". It matches the Rfam family "Bacterial small subunit ribosomal RNA", at positions 209 to 507 of the family's 1533-position model. The record is from RNAcentral.